This is a long non-coding RNA of Pseudopipra pipra, 1179 nucleotides long. RefSeq lists it as uncharacterized. The transcript has 4 exons. Lineage: Eukaryota; Metazoa; Chordata; Aves; Passeriformes; Pipridae. The record is from RefSeq and is a predicted model, not a curated record.
AGUUGUUUUAAAUUAAACUUUUAUUUUGUGUCUCCCCCUUCAGCAUCCUGUCCAAGACAAAGCUACCUUUCCUCGUGGGAAUGGACUGGCCGGGCUUUGGCAAUCUGGCCCCUCGAAAGUCUUAAGUGACCUCUUCCAGCAGGGGAAGACUGAAGCAAGGGGUGCCAGAAAGAACUGGAGUUUCUGGAGAAUAAAAGCUGGAAGCGUGCCCCCGAAAAUCCCCCCGGGUGGUCAGUGGUCUGACUUGCAGGGACCGGUGGCCUUGGCCAGGAGCGGUCCUGUGGGAAGCGCCUUUGCCCAGGCUGUAAUUUUAAUUUCCAUUGGCUGCUUGGCAAAGCCCCCCUGAGUGAGCCCCAGUGCCUGGCAUGAGCGGAGCGGGCUUCCAGGGAGGUAUUCACCUGGUCAGCGUCAGGAACCAUCCUAACUGAGGCCUCGGCUCCCUCUUUCCCUUCGGUUGCCAUGGGUGUGCCGGACACCUCUGGCAGGACUAACCCUGUGGCUUUUAUGUCCAACGUGCUGUGCUGUGUGCCUGCAGAAUUGCCACGAGAGGAAAUACUUCAGAGGGGCUCCCCUCCAGAUAAGCCCUGAAUAUGCCAGGAGGUUUCAGCCGGGAGGAAAGGAGCUGUGGAAGAAAAGCAGCCUGAAAAUAGCCAGCGGGGAUCAUCAGGUUUUCCAGGCAAGAAGAACAAGGAGAGAGAUGAGGGAAUCGGGUUCCAAUUCCUAAUGAUUUGGUGGGUGCAGGAAUGAUUUCUGUGUGUUUUCCAGUCCCUUUUGAUUCCUGAGAUGAUUUUAAAAUGAUGGCUUUAGCAAUCAACUAAAUCGGAGACGUUGUUUUUGAGAGGAAAUGAUGCCAAAUAAAUGCAGAGUUUUGGGUCAGUUUUUGGGAUGAUUUGGGUCAUUUUUUGGGGUCAGUUUGGGGUCACUGUUUGGGGUGAUUUGGGUCAGUUUUGGGUCAGCUUUUGGGAUGAUUGGGGUCAGUUUUGGGUCAGCUUUUGGGAUGAUUUGGGUCGGUUUGGGGUCAAUUUUUGGGGAGCACUGGGUGCUACUGGAGGUUGUUGGGGAGCACUGGGAGAGAAGAUGAAAAAUAAAGAGAAUAAAAAAUAAACGAAAUAAAAAAAGGAAAUAUAAAAAACAAAAGAAAAUUAAAAAAAAGGCAAAAAACCUAAAAAGGAAAUAAAA